CACACUCCACUCACAGGCUUUGACUGUACAGCUCUGUCAUGACAGAGAUGGAGCUUUCUCUAAAGAAGCUGAGGAAAAAUGGAUGUAUCCACUGCACAAGGAGUUCUGCUGAGCAAGGAACCCCUGAGCAUUGAACUUGGAUUCAGGUUUCCUUUAGUCACAAAGUAAGCAGGCAGUUGGUUACCCAGCCUCUUUCACCUUCAUCCAGCCAUUUCAUGGAGUUAUUCAACUUACGAG
Long non-coding RNA from Mus musculus (house mouse), 237 nucleotides. RefSeq annotates it as predicted gene, 53888. The transcript has 3 exons. NCBI's taxonomy places the organism in Eukaryota, Metazoa, Chordata, Mammalia, Rodentia, Muridae. The record is from RefSeq and is a predicted model, not a curated record.